This 460-nucleotide ribosomal RNA is filed under the name uncultured bacterium. Its description in RNAcentral is "partial 16S ribosomal RNA". It matches the Rfam family "Bacterial small subunit ribosomal RNA", at positions 338 to 795 of the family's 1533-position model. The record is from RNAcentral.
CCUACGGGAGGCAGCAGUGAGGAAUAAUGGACAAUGGACGAGAGUCUGAACGAGCCAAGUAGCGUGAAGGAUGAAAGCCAUAUGGGUUGUAAACUUCUGUUAUAGGGGAAUAAAAUGUAACAAGAGUGGGAUAUUGUAUGUACAAUAUGAAUAAGGAUCGGCUAACUCCGUGCCAGCAGCCGCGGUAAUACGGAGGAUCCGCGCGUUAUCCGGAUUUAUUGGGUUUAAAGGGAGCGUAGGUGGUUUGUUAAGUCAGUUGUGAAAGUUUUCGGCUCAACCGUAAAAUUGCAGUUGAAACUGGCAGUCUUGAGUACUGUAGAGGUAGCCGGAAUUCGUGGUGUAGCGGUGAAAUGCUUAGAUAUCACGAAGAACUCCGGUUGCGAAGGCAGUUCACUGGACUGCAACUGACACUGAGGCUCGAAAGUGUGGGUAUCAAACAGGAUUAGAUACCCGUGUAGUC